RNAcentral lists this small nucleolar RNA (121 nucleotides) under Mus spicilegus (steppe mouse). Its description in RNAcentral is "Small Cajal body specific RNA 4 (ENSMSIG00000014302.1)". The record is from RNAcentral. Lineage: Eukaryota; Metazoa; Chordata; Mammalia; Rodentia; Muridae.
AGGAGGAGGCUAAGUGUUACAAAGCAAGCUCUUAUGGAUAUAUACUUCUCCUAGACGAAGGGUUAGAGAGAAUAACACUUUUUGGAGAAAACCACAGGGAUGACUGUACUAUACAACAUUU